Molecule: long non-coding RNA, 515 nt
Filed under: Taeniopygia guttata (zebra finch)
Lineage: Eukaryota; Metazoa; Chordata; Aves; Passeriformes; Estrildidae
Description: lncRNA (ENSTGUG00000018885.1)
Source: RNAcentral
CGCCGGGCGCGGAGCCGGGCGCGGUCGGCGGCAGCGGGAGCGCGGCGGCGGCGGCGGCGGCGGACGGGGCCGGGCAGAGGCUGCCCUCUCGGCUGGGGAAAUCCUUUCCGGAUCCUGUGCACUUAGACGGCGGCAAGAGAGCCUGCACACCCCCCGGGGACAGAGUUUGCCUCCUGAACUACACUUCUCUUAAUGAAGAACAGUAGCUCCGACCUCCAAACCAACUGGGACUGGCGCUUUAAAGUAGCUGCGAACAGUGCUCCCGUGUCUCAACAUGGUCACGUAGGAAUUUGAACCUUUUAAUUUCCAGACACAAGGAAUAACUCCCUCGGAGCACCGGCUUGGUUUAGGUGGUCGAUUGUUGGGUGUUUCGGUCGGAGUUUUUGAAUUUUUUUUGUUUCUAAUAAGGUAGCGAGGGAAGAUGGGGUACUAUUCCCUUGUAGACACAGAACAUAAAGGGGAAGAAAAAGCCUAGCCGGGGCAUAUUUGGCUGUAGGGAACCUGCCCGAGCCGCU